Molecule: long non-coding RNA, 430 nt
Filed under: Marmota monax (woodchuck)
Lineage: Eukaryota; Metazoa; Chordata; Mammalia; Rodentia; Sciuridae
Source: RNAcentral
AGUUGCAGGCCAAAUGUACAUUCAUGUUGCCCGAUAUAUCAACCAAGAAAACCUUCAGCUCUUCCUGGGUUCCUAUAAUGGACACAGAGACCCAGAGAUCAAAAGACCCACACAAGGUCAAAAUGAUAACAGAUGAAAAACAUUAAAGUGUUCUACUUUACAAGUGAUAGGAGACAAUUCACCUGCUGUCAAGGAUGUUGUCAAGGUUGAAAGCAAUUCUCAUCCCAAGCCAAUAAGUACAAAGUUGCUAAAGCUGGCAGACUUGUGGGACUGCCCCAUGUGGUUCAGGCUGGGAAGCUCACAGAGGCCUUCAAGUACUUUUUGCAGGGAAUGGACUCCAGACCAUCUACUAGCAUGACCCGGCUCACCUAAUACUGAUUCUACUGAACCUGGAGGGAGCUCUGGAGAAAGUCCCUUCAGCCAGUGUGUC